AAAGUAAGGCAGCUGGGUUUUAAUGCUUCCACUGGCUGGUCAUUGGCUGUGGCUCCUUGCCCAGGGAAGUGUAGCCCCCAGGCCCUGCCAACUCUCCUCCUUUGUGGGUGAUACUGCUCCAGGAGGCCAACCGCAGUCCUCUGAAGACAGCUCACAAGUGGAAGCCAUAAGAAAGCACACAAAAGCUGGAGAGAGAUAGCCAGAGUGGAAGUCCCCUUAUGGCAUAUGAAGUGACUGGGUAAGGAUAUAACCUCUAAAAGCCUCCAAGAAAUUCCUGAUUUUGUGAAAGUACAAGUAGGAUGAGAAGUUAUUGAGAGAGGAGCUGUGUUAUUCAAAGUGAAUGUUCACGGGUCAGUGUCAGCAAAUGAUAUCUGUAACAUGUUGCUAAUGCAGGUGAGAACAUGGAGCUGCAGGGAGGAUAAGCAGGAUGCGCCAGGUCCUAUAGCUCUUGUGUGGCAGGAUCAGCAUACACAGCCUGCACUACCACUACACUGCUCUCAAGCAGACAAAGCCGCUGAAGAGGAGAACCAGCUUCUAUACCAAACUGCUCAAGGCUUGCUGAGCAGGGAGGCGAAUGCAUGAGCAUCUGGAUGGGGGUCUAAGCAGGUGCCUUGAAGACCUUUCUCUACUCUCUAAUUAGGUCACAUGCUGAGGAAGCCAGCCCCCAUGGUAAAACUAGAACUCUGGGAUCUAGGACAUGCUGAAUGUGGAGAUAUCUCCUGGAAUCGAAGACAGCAAGAUCAUCAUACCACAUUGAUUAAUGAGAAGCAGUAGCAGCUGCACAGUAGAAUCACCUGGAGAGCUCUUAAAAAAUACCGAUGCCAUGCAGACCCCACCUAACACCAACUCAACCAGAAUUUCUGGGCAUAGGAUCUUUUAAAAUUUCCCCAUGAGGGCCCAAUGUGCAACAGAGUGAGAGAUAGUGGUUUAUUCCAUUUCUAACCAACUCAAGGGUCUUCAGGAAGACACCUUGGCCAUGGUUCUAGAAUUCUCCUUUUUGAGAUCUUCAGGUCGGAGGCGCUACAAGGCAAAUGCCUACACCUGGGCCUGGCAGGUUACAAAUGAGUGGAGACUGCGGAGAACAAAAAAUAUAUACAUAUAUCCUUGGCAUUUGUCUCAGGAGGCAGCAGGGAGCAAUGGAGACCAUGGAAAACUCUAGAGCCCAGGUGGCAUCUAAAGAGACUGAAGCUCCUCAUCUUUGAUCUAUUGUUGUCUAGAGGUAAAAUUAGGUUGGAGCAAGAAGAUUGUGAAAUCUCAUGUUCCACAAUGGUCCGCUGAGCAAGUCAAAAUAGAGUUCGAUCUCCAUGAUUCAAAAUCUCCCAAUGGGAGCAAUCAGCCACCAUAAUGUGAGGAUACUCGAGCCAACCUAGAAGAGUCCAAAUGAAGAACGAAGGCUCCUGCUAAAAACCAUCACCAGCUGGAUAAUUCUAUAAGUAAACGAACUUUAGAAAUGGAUCCUCUAACUCUGAUUAACCUUCAGACAAUUACAACUGUGGCCAACAACUUAACAACAACCUCAAUGAGAGACCCUGAGCCAGAAAUACUCAGAUGAUCCAGAACCAGAAAUACUAAUCAUUCAAACUGUGAAAUCUAACAAUGUUUAUUGUCCUUUUGAGCUAUAAUAUUUGGGGAUAACCUGCUAAACAGCAAUAGAUAAGUAAUGAAGUUGUGGUCCAACCCAUGCUACUAACACUUUAUGAAGCUUCUUUACUUCUUUUCAUUUCUUUGAUCUCCUUCAAUCUUCCCUAAGAUUCUAUAAGCAUCUCCCCAACUCCAUUCUGCUAACAUCAGUUUCAACUGCUUAUUAUCAAAGAACACAACUAUAAAACAGUGUAAUUUAUUAAUAAUUUAAAAAGUUUGGUCUGAGAAAUUUUAAUUCAAUAUCUUGGUUUACUGUGGAUCUAUCUACACAUUAUACAUUUUCACAUGAAGGGUAAAAGAUUGCUAUUUAUCUACUGGCAUUUUGUAAGUCAAAAGUGAUUUACCACUGAUACAUAUGUCUCUUGAUGAAUAUUCUAAGAUUAUGCAGCACUUCUUUAUCACAUAUAAUUUAUAAAGAAUUAUGUGAUCAUCAUCUAUAAAGAAUGCAAGUGUAAACUUGUAAAAUGAAAUUAGAUGCUUUGUAAUUGAAAAAUAUAUUCAUUGUAGAUUUAAUUGUUGAAUAGUUAUUUUGAUUUGCCCACACAAGUUAUUACUUCAGAUUUACAAGUUUGGAUAUCCUGAACUUUAGCAUGUUGCCCUCAUGAGUGUGUGUUAAUACUUUUUUCUUCUUCACGAAUAGAUGAAAACUUAAAGGAAAAAAUAGAAAACUGCCCACAAUGAAAAUGUAUCUUCCUUAUUUUAAAUCAAAUGAUUGUGUUUAAUUUUUUAAAUACAGUAGUGUUUUAAUCAAACUUAGAAAAAUUUUGGUCAUUAUUCUUUAAAUAUUUUUAUUGCACUAUUCUCUCCCGUCCUUCUCCUCUGCCUUCUCAUCUCCUCAAACUCAAGUUAUGUUUGUGUUACAACUUUUGAUAUUAUUCCACAGGUCCUACAUUGUUCAUUUUCUUUUAUCUUAUUUUCUCUCUGUAGUUCAAAUUCAUAUUAGCAUAUUGCUUUCAUUGAGCUUGGUGUUAUUUCUUAUGUUGCCAAUCUGUGAUUAAAGCUAUCAAUGUUUGUUUUCAAAUAUUAUACUUUUCAACUCUACAACUUCCAUUUGGUUCAUAUUUAUGAUUUUUUUUCCUAUUCUGAGAUAGUCUCUCGGUAUUCAUUCAUCAUGACCAUAUUUUUCUUUAAAAUUUUAUAAAAGCUACUUUAAAUUCCAUGUCCACUAAUUUCAACAUCUAGAUAUUUGGUAUUGAUUUACAUAGACUAACUCUCUAAAAUAUUGUUCACAUUUUUUAUCCUGUUUUCUUAUUUGUAGUAACUUCUAGAUAUAUGUUGGACAUAAUGGAUCAGAAAUUAUAGAAAUCUGGAUUAUGUUGUCCUCCUUAAAUACUGGUGAUGUUUUUUAUGGCUGACAUAUAAAUCACUGUAGAUAUUUUUGUUCUUGUCAGGCUUGAACUUAUAGUUUAUUAGAGCUUUAUCUAUAUUUAGUUUUUAACUUUAUCCUAGGGAAUAUCCUUACUCUACAGCAUGAUCUUUAUACUUAAAAUAUAAUUUCUCUGAAUCUCAACUGAAUCACGAAUGAAAUUUCUUUACUUCAGUUGGUCUGGACUCCAGUGAAUUCUGGCAUGGUAUGCCCUCUAAUAUGACUGGCUCUCAGCCCUAAAAAGGACCAAUUUGGGGAAAGAUGAGGUAUUUAUAAUCAUAAGGCUCAUGUCUUCUAUUCCUCUUAUUUUAAAGAUCACAAUCUUAUCUAGCCUUUGUUUAAUUUCUGACACAGUGAUUUCAUACAUUUUUUCCAAUUUAAUAGUUCUUCUUGUCAAGAGGACAUGUCUGGUGCCAGUUACUUUGUCAUAGUUAAAAGUUGAAGUUGCUUUCAAAUGUAUAUCUUCAGCCAGUUUGCUAUAACAUUUCUGGACUUAAUAGUAAAAUAAAAUAGCAUGUUAGAAUGUUUAAAUAAUUUUACAAAGAAACAAAAAACCCCUAAUACCCCUAAUACACAUACACAUGCCAUAUACAUUUUCUUUUUUUUUUUUUUGCCAUAAACAUUUUCAAAUUUGUAGAGAACUCCUAUAAACUUUUUGUAUAACAGGAAUUAAAUAUAUUUUAAUAAAAUAUUUUGUAUAACAGUGAUUAAAUAUAUUUUAAUAAAAAUUAAUUAGCUCACAAAUUCCUUCACAUUUUGAUUUGUCAAUAUUUUGUAUUUAUACUUAUAAGGAUAGAAAUAUGUGAUGAGAACUCUAUUUAUAUUUAUGUGUUAUAGUAAUCAUUAUAUUUUAAAAUAUUAAUACCUUACUUUCAAUAAGAAGAACUCAAUUGCUUUGAUAUCUCUGCAAAUCACCUGCAUAGAGUCUACAAAUUAUGCCUAAUUUAGGUGCAGACCUUCGUCUCUUAAAGACAGGGUUCAACUUACCAAACCAAUUUCCACCAAGUCCCUUACUCUCAGUAGAGAAAAACUCAAUAAAUGAUUUUGCCAUUAAGCUUUCUGUAUUUCUUUAAUAUAGUAGCAAUCUAUUGAAAAUUUAAACCUAAACCAAAAAUAAUAUGGUAUCUCAGAUAUUCAAGCUAAAAUUUAAGUCAGAACACUACCUGAAGGAGUUUCAAAAGUGUUUACAAUAUAUUUUACAGACUGUAGCUAAGAGCUUUGUACAAUUCAUCUUCCAGAUGUAGACACAUUAAUGAAUUUAAGUGUAUUAAUUUUCCUCUAGCAUUUACAAUUUAUUAUUGGCUUGGUUUGGCAGUGAGAUGUUAAAAGGGGUUCAA
Long non-coding RNA from Canis lupus familiaris (dog), 4344 nucleotides. RefSeq lists it as uncharacterized. NCBI's taxonomy places the organism in Eukaryota, Metazoa, Chordata, Mammalia, Carnivora, Canidae. The transcript is spliced from 6 exons. The record is from RefSeq and is a predicted model, not a curated record.